AGACACUUAUUUGAUACAUAUACUGCAUUAAUACAGGGUUUGUGCUGUGAUAUACCUUGUCUUUCAAAAGUGCUUCAAUCGGCACAGAAUUAUCCAUCCAAGAGUUAUCCCCUUUGGACCUUGAUGAGCUGCAGGAAAGCGCUGUUUGCUGGAGGUGGUGGCAGUCACUGCGUGAGGUGUGCUGGAGGUGGCAGUUGCUGCAGGACGGGCUAUGUCCUGUCGAGGUGUCUGUAAAAUACAGGAAAGCGCUGUUUGCUGCAGGUGGUGGCAGUGCUGGAGGUGGCAGUUGCUGCAGGGACCGGCUAUGUCCUGUUGAGGUUUCUGUGAAAUACAAGUGAUUUCCAGCUUUGAAGUUUGUAUUAACAUUGCAUGUGUAUGAACAACCAUGGCUGUUUAAAGUCACCUUAACCUACCCAUCUUUCGAGAAUGUACUGCCUGAAGCGCUUCAGGGACUUAGUGGUGAUGUCGUCCUCCUUCAUAACAAGCCGCUGUCUGAUAGAACAGUAAGCCUCCUGAGCCAUCUUUCUCUCGUGGUCAUUCCCCGCUUGAGGGACAGCUUGAAGGCGCUUGUGCACACUGCAUCACUGCCACAUUUCUUGAAAUGUAAAAGACCUGAAGCUGGCCCUGUUUACGUACAUUUCAAGAUGGCAGGAGACCGGAGGGAAUAGCUGCACAUAUUUAAAGAGGUAAGCUCUACCCACUCGUUAUUAGUGGCUCUUCUCUCAUGUUGGCUGUGUUUGAUCUGGCAAUCAAGGAUACUAAAAUAUGACAAAGAAAACAUAAUUAAUUUAUGACAAACAUUGUGAACAUAGUUUGAUUCUGUUUAGUGCAACAAGCUUACUAUUUAAUGUAUCCAACAUCAUUUUCCACCAGCCAUUUGAAAGUUUUGCCUUUUGUAUUUGCCAAAUGUGAUGAUCAGCUGCCCCAGAUACUGCCUUUUGAUAGAUAACACGCAGGCACAGAAGCUCUAGUGCACAACAGUAGGUUAUCAUGACUUGACUGCGGUGGGAAAACAUCUAUGACCCUACUGCCAAGGUAUUAGCUUUGUUAUAAGCCGCCCUCUCAUGUAUGGGUGGAUAGAUGUACCUGGGGUCGUUUGUGAGGUUAAUGGUGGAGGUUUGGUGAUGGUGAAAGUGACCUUUAUGUUCUCUCACUGGCAGUGGUAAUGUGGCAUCAGUGCAGACAUAUGUUGUAAUUGUAACAGAGCCUUUGGAACAGGCAUCAAAGAGUCUGUUCUUUCUUUUUCAGGUAGUCAGGUGGAGGGAGGACUGAAGGCUGGCACGGUGCUAUCUGAAGAUAUUGAUGUGAUCUUUGAUAUGGUGGCAGAUGGCAUUUUUGUUGCCUGCAAGUUGAGGAGCCUCUCUUGACAACGGAUAAAAUCACAGACAGUUUUAGUGUUAAUUAUGGGUAGAGAAACACCCAGUUUGCUCAGCACUGGAUCCUCUGCCAAUAUGGUAUGUUGAACUCUCUCAUAGGCCUUUGUGAUGUUUCUUUUUUCAGGGCUUGUCUGAGAACUGUGAUGUGACACCAGCCACAGAAGUUUCACAAGGGUGUACAUUAGCUUGUUGUGCUGAGCGCUGAUGUUUUGUUGAGCUGGCGCAUAGCGCUUGGACAUCUUAAAACGCUGAA
Molecule: non-coding RNA, 1629 nt
Organism: Paramisgurnus dabryanus
Lineage: Eukaryota; Metazoa; Chordata; Actinopteri; Cypriniformes; Cobitidae
Source: RefSeq, a predicted model, not a curated record